CCUAUUGCAGGCAUCUCAAAUAAGAGAUGUCAUAUAAAUAGUUACAACUUUUACCACCCUCUCCACCUAAGCAUUGGCUAGAAAAUUAAGCAAAGCUGGCAAUGAGGGUGCUUGAAAAGCUACAAAAAUUGAGCCAAAGUAGACCAACAAUUCUGAGCAAAAGCACAGGUGACAAUAGAGUGCUCACAAUUUUCUGGGUCAGCUUGGAAUAAAUCACAAGCUGUGAGGA
This 229-nucleotide long non-coding RNA is filed under the name Elaeis guineensis (African oil palm). RNAcentral's name for it is "long non-coding RNA (EGUI_LNC001986)". The record is from RNAcentral. Lineage: Eukaryota; Viridiplantae; Streptophyta; Magnoliopsida; Arecales; Arecaceae.